CAGGAAUGUUGCUGAAGGCAAGAGAAACAACCUCAAAGAGAAAUGACAGAAGACCAGAUGUAAAUGUUUUAUAUCCGUAUCAAAAUAUGCUGUUGGAGACUGAGGAGAAUUUGUUAUAAGACAAUAAAAUGCCGAAGUCACUUUGAAGUCAAAGUACUGGCAUUUAUUUUACAGGAGAAAAAAACAGGAAAGAAAUUUAAAGUAAAAGGAAGAUUGACCACACAGUACGCUCAGCGG
Molecule: long non-coding RNA, 237 nt
Organism: Fukomys damarensis (Damara mole-rat)
Lineage: Eukaryota; Metazoa; Chordata; Mammalia; Rodentia; Bathyergidae
Exons: 3
Source: RefSeq, a predicted model, not a curated record